GACGAACGCUGGCGGCGUGCUUAACACAUGCAAGUCGAACGGAAAGGCCCUGCUUUUGUGGGGUGCUCGAGUGGCGAACGGGUGAGUAACACGUGAGUAACCUGCCCUUGACUUUGGGAUAACUUCAGGAAACUGGGGCUAAUACCGGAUAGGAGCUCCUGCUGCAUGGUGGGGGUUGGAAAGUUUCGGCGGUUUGGGAUGGACUCGCGGCUUAUCAGCUUGUUGGUGGGGUAGUGGCUUACCAAGGCUUUGACGGGUAGCCGGCCUGAGAGGGUGACCGGCCACAUUGGGACUGAGAUACGGCCCAGACUCCUACGGGAGGCAGCAGUGGGGAAUAUUGCACAAUGGGCGGAAGCCUGAUGCAGCAACGCCGCGUGCGGGAUGACGGCCUUCGGGUUGUAAACCGCUUUCGCCUGUGACGAAGCGGGAGUGACGGUAAUGGGUAAAGAAGCACCGGCUAACUACGUG
This 468-nucleotide ribosomal RNA is filed under the name uncultured bacterium. Its description in RNAcentral is "partial 16S ribosomal RNA". It matches the Rfam family "Bacterial small subunit ribosomal RNA", at positions 28 to 507 of the family's 1533-position model. The record is from RNAcentral.